This 635-nucleotide ribosomal RNA is filed under the name uncultured soil bacterium. RNAcentral's name for it is "bacterial SSU rRNA". It matches the Rfam family "Bacterial small subunit ribosomal RNA", at positions 35 to 668 of the family's 1533-position model. The record is from RNAcentral.
GCUGGCGGCGUGCUUAACACAUGCAAGUCGAGUGCGCGUUUCCGUAGCAAUACGGAAAUGGUGCACGGCGCACGGGUGCGUAACACGUGGGUAAUCUGCCCUCUGAUGGGGAAUAACCCGCCGAAAGGCGGGCUAAUACCGCAUAACAUUCCUUGGACUCCGGUUCGAGGAUUCAAAGGCGUAAGUCGUCGGAGGUGGAGCCCGCGCACGAUUAGCUAGUUGGUGAGGUAAUGGCUCACCAAGGCUAUGAUCGUUAGCUGGUCUGAGAGGAUGGCCAGCCACACUGGAACUGAGACACGGUCCAGACUCCUACGGGAGGCAGCAGUGGGGAAUCUUGCACAAUGGGCGAAAGCCUGAUGCAGCGACGCCGCGUGGGGGAUGAAGCUUCUCGGAGUGUAAACCCCUUUCGACCGGGACGAAUACCUCGCAAGAGGGGUGACGGUACCGGUAUAAGAAGCCCCGGCUAACUACGUGCCAGCAGCCGCGGUAAGACGUAGGGGGCCAGCGUUGCUCGGAAUUACUGGGUGUAAAGGGUUCGUAGGCGGUGUGGCAAGUCGGGAGUGAAAUCUCUGGGCUCAACCCAGGGGCUGCUUCCGAAACUGCCGUGCUAGAGUGUGGGAGAGGCGCGUGGAAUU